UACGUAGGGCGCAAGCGUUGUCCGGAAUUACUGGGCGUAAAGGGCUCGUAGGCGGCCAACUAAGUCGGACGUGAAAUCCCUCGGCUUAACCGGGGAACUGCGUCCGAUACUGGAUGGCUUGAGUGUGGGAGAGGGAUGCGGAAUUCCAGGUGUAGCGGUGAAAUGCGUAGAUAUCUGGAGGAACACCGGUGGCGAAGGCGGCAUACUGGCCCACGACUGACGCUGAGGAGCGAAAGCCAGGGGAGCAAACGGG
This 253-nucleotide ribosomal RNA is filed under the name uncultured bacterium. RNAcentral's name for it is "partial 16S ribosomal RNA". It matches the Rfam family "Bacterial small subunit ribosomal RNA", at positions 524 to 776 of the family's 1533-position model. The record is from RNAcentral.